AAUAGCAUUUAAUUCUGAUCAGAUUCAAAUGGAUAGUCGUUCCGAACAUAUAGAUGGUGCAUACAUGCAAGGAAGGAACUACAAACCUGAUACAAAGCAAUGUUCUCUUUUAUACCAAAAGGAGGUCUUUGAAGUAUCUUUAGGGAUGUCAUAAACCAUCAACUGGCAUCUGCAUAUCCUGGAAUCUGGUUUGUGUAUCCCAUAGUAAAGGUCUUUAGCCACUUGGUCCCCUAUUAGCACUACAAAGGUGAGCACUACAAAAGUGUGUAGAUUGCUUCUGCUAGUUGAGAUCUUGUGGGAAACAGAGUGGCAUUUUAUGGAGGUUUUUAGAUCUUAAUGCAGGUUAAUGCAGGAUGUACUUCAUGAGAAAGGAAAUGCAGGUAUACAAAGACAUCAGUAUAUAUGUUGCAGGAAACAAUUCUAGCAUUUUAGUAUAUAUGUUCCCUUCAUUCCUCCAUUUUUAAUAUGAUGGUAUGCUUGCCAUCAUGGUAAAUAACCUUAUUCUAUUCAGCAUAUAAAUGGGAGUGUUCCUAUGAGUGUUCCUAUGAUUCCAGCUUCUGCCCAGGUGGUCAGCCUUAUCUUUGAACUCUGGAGGCCAGCAAUCUUUCUCUGGUCUCCUCAUAAACAGGGCUGUAUAUAAAAAAGAAAAUUGCUUUAUUCCAGUGGCUAGUCAAUUGCACAUAGGCAAAAUUUCCAAUAUAAGCCAUCUGGAGCAUACCAAUUAUCACAUCCGUCCAUAACCCAUUCUAAUCUAGUUAUUUUCAAAUGGGUUACUAGGUUGUGUCAGUUCAUAAUUGCUGAUAAUGUAUGAUUUUUUCACACUUAUUGCAUCAUCUGCUCCUCCCAUUUAUCCUAUGCAUAAGAAAAUUGCAAAUGUUGAACCAUUGCAUUCUUAUAUCUUCAGGGAGUAUGAUAUCACUAUCUCCUAGGACUAAUGAUCAGGUUUCUAUAGGAGCAAUCCCUUGCACAUUUCAACAAUCACAGUGUUGCAGUUCACAAGUACAACAAUAAUAACAACAGCAUUCAGUAAUGCAGUUACAAUCACAAACAAACACAAUCUGCAGAGUGCGAAGCUGCACAGCUGCUUUUGGAUCUUCAGAUGGAGUAAAAGAGUCCACCAAUCAGGUCAGAAAGACAAAACUUGCUUCUCCUGCAAAGAGAAAAAUCCCAAACAAAACAUAUGCAUAUCAACAUGACCACAUUUUUGAAAAUGUUCAUUCUCAGUUAGUCUCUAGGAAUCACUUGGCACUUGUGGAGUUCUUUCAUGGGGCAAGUUUCUCUUCCACCUGACAGAAAUUUAAGAUGUUCAGGACUUGCUGCUGACAGAAAUCUCAAAUACAAUCCUUACAUGAAUACAUAAAACAAGAAAGAACCAGCUGUCUUCUGGGAAUUGAAAAAAAAAGAGUCUUUUGAUCGUUACAUGUCUACUCAUUACAUGUCCAUUUCUUUAUUGGGAAGUUCUGCUCCACUUUGGUUGUGUGGUGACUUUCAGUGGAGGCUGUCUCAAAUGGAUGGAAUGUCUCUUUUGGGGAAAGCAUCUUGACCCAUGUAUUCGACUUCCACAGGUUUGAGUCAUCUUGCAGGACUAAAAGACAUGAGAAGGGGUCCCCUCCUCCCUUUCUGGGUGAGAAAAGGCAUUGUUGGAGGAUUAGGGAGGGGGUCAAAGGAGAAUAGAUAGCUUGCAGAUAAAACUUGUACAAUAUAUUCCCAUAUGAGAAAAGGUAGCUGGAUUCACAUGCUUCAGGAAGGAGAUGAACAGGUAAAAUCAUUUAAACAAGUGUACAGAGAAGAAAGAAGGUUGAACUCUGUUCUUUACCCUGUCUAGAUAGCUGGUCCAUCCUGGAGGAAAAGUCAUUUUACUUCUUUCCAGCACUUUUAAAAUUCAUACUCACACAAAAGUAGGGACAAAGAAGAAAUGACACAACUUGGAGAGGUGGUUUACACACAAGUCUCAGUUUUUUAGCAAACAUACUAUGUGGAAGACAGAGAAAAAGACAAACAAUCAACAAAAACCCAAAUCCUACCCUUUUAUUCUUGUGUAGAAAGAUAAACAACAAAAACAGAAAAAGACAAACAAUCAACAAAAACCCAUCUCCCACCCUUUUUAUUCGUGUGUGGAAGUUGUUCACUAACAAAUCCACAGUAUCAAAAACUUCCAAAAACAAAUCACAUCAUAUCUUAGCAAAAUCACUAUUUGUCUUACUUUGCUCAUACUUUUCUAACUCCUAACUCCUAACAUUAAACCUUUAUUUUAGCUUAAUUAGUGCCUCAAGCUUCAAAUACAAAGCUUGACUUAACAAAUUAAAUCCAUCAUAGCACCAGUAUCCGAUCACCCUCCCAUCCAUCACUCUUUCCACAUCUUUUAAUUGUCUAACUUAUCUCUGAAAUAGUUCCUAAAACAGGGCACAUCUUGUGCUACUAAAAAUAAAAAUAAACAAUACAAACAGCAAAUAAGGGGCGCCUUGAGUCUGAUUAAAAAAAAAUGCAUUUUGUAAGCUUUUGGGUGAGUCUUUUUAUGUGGAAAAGCUGAGUGCGUUUUUUUUUAAAAAAAGAGAUUCCUGCUUUUUUAAAAAAAAAAUAUAUGCACCCAUACAUAAGAAGAUAGCCAUUUGUCUGAAAUGCUGUAGGGUUUCCUGCCUGGGCAGGGGGUUGGACUAGAAGACCUCCAAGGGUCCCUUCCAACUCUUAUUAUGUAUGCUAACAGCUUCAAAAAUACAAAGCUAAAUGACACUUUUUUUUUGUUUUGCAUUUAUAUCCCGCCCUUCUCCGAAGACUCAGGAUUUUGAGUCAACUCUGUGCUUUGAAAACAUUUAUAAAGGUAUAGGUUUAAUCAGGCAGCUUAAACCUCAAAAAUUUCCAGAAAAAGAAGGGGAAAAAAAUUAAAAAUCAAAAUCAAAAUUGUAUUCAGGGUGGAAAAGAAAAUGUAUCUGCGUAGCUUUUAUGCAGAUGAAGAAAUACAAAAUCAGUGAAAAGCAAUGCUUUUCACCCAUUUGCCCCUCUCUUCUCAGGCAGGCUCAGCAGAGAGAGAAAAAAUGGAGGGGGGUAAAUGGUUCUCCCCCUUCGCCCACCCCCUCCCCUGGCUCAACAGGGAGUGAUGGGGGGGUAGUUAAGAUGAGCCAGCGAGGACAGAGAAAAAAAAAUUCCAAAAGUCCACUCUGAGGAGGGGGAAAUGGCUGUUUUCCAGGCCCGCCUUUCUCUCACCCCGCCCCCAGCCAGGCUCAACAGAGAGCGAGGGGGAUGGAGGUUAGGAUGAGUCAGUGAGGGUUAGGGAAAAAAAUUCCAAAAGUAACUUAUUGCAGUCAAGCUGUUUGCUGAAACAAUCUCUCAUGCACACAAAUACACACACACACACACACACACAAAAGUUGCAAUCAGGCAGCGUGCAGAGACAAUUUCUUACACAUGCACACAUUUCUUGCAAAUCCAAAAGACAACACAGAAAUCUCACACCUGCUCAAUGAGUUUCUCUAACACUGCAAUCAGUCUCUCAUGCACACACACACACCAUUUACAGACCUGGGGAAGUUGUCUCUUUAAAUCCUCUCCCCUCAAGUGAGAAAACUCAGCAGUUUAAAUCAUGAAUGUGAUUGUGGGCUCUAGCUACUCCCAGUUUUCCACAGUUCCAAGCUGAGAAGUUUAAGUAAUUUGCCAGUUUGACCAUACAAAUCACAAUCAAUUCAAUCCCAUUCAAUUCUACAUGCUAUCAUAGUGGAUGAGUAUCCAAGAAUUUUAAGAGAACUCACACCAAAUUGAUCCUGGGUCUUCUUACCACACAUAACAGCAUAAAGUAACCAUCUCUUCUAUGGUUACUUGAUGUGAGCUUUUUACUUUUACCUAUUGAAUCUACCUCUUUAAGCACUAAAAUGUUACUACGUGUCUCUGCCCUGGGGUGUUCUGGGCAUUUAUCUUGUUAAGAGUAAGGGCUAUUAAGGAUCAUUCACUUUUCCAGGAAACAGAUAAGCCCUUUCUGGGGAAAUUUUAAGGGGGUCUCCCUGCUGAGUGCAUUUUAUAACUGCUCCCAGCUUUUUGCUAGGAAAUCUUUUCCCAAAACAUUCCCAAUGUGUUCCCAAAACAUUGUGGCAAUAUUUAGAAAGGAAUGCUUGAGUGAUGGUCCCUGAAAGUAGCUUGUGUCACUCAAAGAGUGAAAUCUGUCCCCUACUUUUAGUUCCAUCAGGGAGUCUGAGGGAAGCAAUUGGCCCUCCAGAGCCCCAUCAAUUUUCAGGAUAAAAUUCAGGGGUCUAGGCUGAUGAGGGUGACCCGCCCAGUGACUGAACUGGGACAUUGUUGUUCAAGGGGCAUUAUCUCCUCCAAUGGCCAAAUUGAAGACAACAUUGAUCUCUAUGGAUGGAAGCACUCCAGGGAUUAACUGAAGUUCCCCUCCCUCUUCUUUGGGGACUUCAGGAAGCAGCUGCUAAAAGAGCGGCUUGCUUUUGCAUUCUCAUUUCUUACGUUUCUUUGUGUUGGGGUUUCUAAGCCCUAGCAGUGGGGUUUUUUUUUGCAGUUUUGCAAUUUCUUUCUUAUUGGGGGGAAGGUGCUUUAACCCACAAAAGCUAUUUUCAGCAAAACAUCAUCAGGAUUGAAGUCAGUAAACUUGCAGUAUCCUUCAAACGAUUCAGAAAAAGGGGUGGGGGGAUUUUUGAAGGAUCUGAUGGAAGUGGAAGUUUACUGUUUUUCUUUUGGGGACACUCAGUUUUAAUCCUUGCAGGACAAAAUCCCUAGUUCUCUGGAGGAUGAGGGAACACAGGGGCUGAUCUCAUCAGGCACAUUAGGUCCGUGAGUGUCUAUUACACAUUGAACAAGUUCUACAUAUCUUUGGGGGAAUUCCCUGCAAGGUGGGAAUUCCAAUUGAAUAUAAAAGCACAGCAUUUGCAUCGUAAUAUGGUGUGGGGGAAACUCUUCUUCCUCUUCAGACAUUUUGCCUAGUUUGUUUCUUUCUCUGAAAGUGACAAGGGCCAAUUUUUUAGAAGAGGAUGUUGGAGUGAGCCCACACGCUCUCUGAAUCUCUGGCUGACAGAGGAGGUUGAAAAAGAAACCAAUAAAGGAUUCCUCUUCAGUUUGUCUGAUGGUAGCCAAAAAUCAGCAAAUUUGUUAAUAAAAUCUAAAUCAAAGCUGCCUUCUGGAGGCCAGGCUCCCAUGCUAGUAGGUUGGCCAGAUGGAUUUAAAAGCAACUUUGAUUGUUACUGAUAGAUCGUUCCCCGAAUGGGUUCGAAUUUCCCGGCUGGGAGAGCCUCUCCAGCAGAUUGGAGCGUUGCCGAUGUAUUAGAAGAAUUGAGAUCGAAGCGAGCUGCGUGAAAGCGAGGUUUCUUUAUUUUUCAGGAAGACGAAUCCAGCAAGCGCAAGGACCGCGUUCCUGGGUGAGCUGACAACCAUAUACAGAAGACGAAUCCAGCAAGCGCAAGGACCGCGUUCCUGGGUGAGCUGACAACCAUAUACAGAAGACGAAUCCAGCAAGCGCAAGGACCGCGUUCCUGGGUGAGCUGACAACCAUAUACAAGACGCCUGCUGCACUACCUUAUUUUUCCCAGAUGCCUCAAUCUUGAAAUGCUGUCAUUCUUUGGACACGUGAACACCACUCUCUAUUGCAAACUCAUGUUUCGCACAGUAUUUGCAACCUAGUGUCUUGUUUGA
Ahaetulla prasina is the source of this 5628-nucleotide long non-coding RNA. RefSeq lists it as uncharacterized. The transcript is spliced from 4 exons. The record is from RefSeq and is a predicted model, not a curated record. NCBI's taxonomy places the organism in Eukaryota, Metazoa, Chordata, Lepidosauria, Squamata, Colubridae.